RNAcentral lists this ribosomal RNA (428 nucleotides) under uncultured bacterium. RNAcentral's name for it is "bacterial SSU rRNA". It matches the Rfam family "Bacterial small subunit ribosomal RNA", at positions 355 to 774 of the family's 1533-position model. The record is from RNAcentral.
UGGGGAAUUUUGGACAAUGGGCGCAAGCCUGAUCCAGCAAUGCCGCGUGCAGGAUGAAGGCCUUCGGGUUGUAAACCGCUUUAGUCCGGGAAAAAGGGCUGACGUGCUAAUACCGCGUUGGUUUGAUGGUACUGGAAGAAUAAGCACCGGCUAACUACGUGCCAGCAGCCGCGGUAGUACGUAGGGUGCGAGCGUUAAUCGGAAUUACUGGGCGUAAAGCGUGCGCAGGCGGUUAUAUAAGACAGAUGUGAAAUCCCCGGGCUCAACCUGGGAACUGCGCUUGUGACUGCUAAGCUAGAGUACGGCAGAGGGGGGUGGAAUUCCACGUGUAGCAGUGAAAUGCGUAGAGAUGUGGAGGAACACCAAUGGCGAAGGCAGCCCCCUGGGUCGAUACUGACGCUCAUGCACGAAAGCGUGGGUAGCAAACA